Molecule: RNA transcript, 3010 nt
Organism: Portunus trituberculatus (swimming crab)
Lineage: Eukaryota; Metazoa; Arthropoda; Malacostraca; Decapoda; Portunidae
Exons: 7
Source: RefSeq, a predicted model, not a curated record
UAAUUUUCAUACACUCAGCCGAAGCACAUCUUAUCAUCUGUCUCACGACACGAUAACACACUAAGUGCCAUCUGCUGCUCCCCUGUGGAUCUAUCGCCCACAACUGUGCCGUGCCUUCCACUGCAAGCACCGCCGCAGACCCCUUCCCUCCAGCAUUUCCCGCCGCCAUGCAGGCUCACCCUCCAACCUAUGGAACUCACUUGCCGUACGCCCCAGCCGUGGCUCAAGGAACUGACUGGUGUGGGGUUUUCGUGACGAAGAAGGUUCUCCUUAUUGCCACGAUAACCACUGCGGUGGUGAUGCUCGCCUCAUUCAUCAUUCUGUGCGUUGGUAUGGCAAUGGAGUGUAUAGAGAUCACAAGUUGCAACGUGAAAGCAGCAUUCAUCAUCACAGGAGGCUUACUGACUGGCAUUUGUACGAUCUUCUUCGUGGUGAUCUUCGUGUUGCUGUUCAAUAUGAGGAGCGCCGCGCCCACCAGGCCCUUUAUGACACAGCAGCCCUACGCCACCUUCCCAAGUCCGAUGGUGUCCACGAGCACCGUUCAAACAGCGUCCCAUCCUGCACCUUAUGCUCCGCCAAGCACGGGCUACCCUCAGUAUCAGCAGCACCCACAGCCAUCCUUUCCUUAGGCGCCCAUGCCUCUGGCGCCGAUGACCCAGGCGCUCAUGUCCCAGGAGCCCAUGCCUUUCAAACAGACUUGCUGUUUAGUCGAAUAGUAUGAGGGAAUGAUGCCGCAUGAUUGCAACAUGACCACCAAACACUGAUGUGAUAAGAUAGCCAGCGUUGCAACUAGUAGGCAACUCCCCCAUUGUUAAGGGUUACUAAUCUAAUGCUUGGAAAACUUUAUAAACUUGUACAAGUAGACACUUUAUGUACAGUAAGUCCAACUUGUGGUGUCACCCAGUCCUGUGAAUUUCGUGUCUAGAAAUCAAAUAGAAAUCAAUAUAUGGACCUAUCAAAACGUUUGCAAAGACAAAGGACAACUAGUGGUAUGAUUAGUCAAAGGAGUUGCCAGAUAUCCUUUAAUGAAAGGCUUGGGCUCAAUGCCUAUCGACUGUUCAAGGAUCAUUGAGGCAGACAUGUCAGUUUGUGGCCAAUCCUUAGCUGGGGUUGAAGACAAAGUCCCACCAAUCUCACCAAGCAACUGCCUUGGGUCAGAAUGGAAUUCGCGCCAUUACUGCCACGAGCCAACCACUUUACCACGGAACUACCCAGUCCCUGAAUCGUCUCAUUACCCUAACCCCUUCAGUAGCAUGACGUGUUUCCCUAUUCCUUCUGGUGACUAUUUGGUGAUUUUCUACAGCUUCACCAACUCAUGUGGGGGUUAAAAUAGUGAAGACUGUGCCCAUUAAUAUUGUGCCCUUCAUACACCCUUGCUAAUGUCAAUAAAAUGGUCUAAUGGCACACAAAACUCAAGGUAAAAAUGUGUCCCAGUACUGAAAGGGUUAAGUAUUUUAUGAAGUGUGCCGCCAGUAGUUUGAGGAACUGCACCAGUACUGAGCGGAUUAAUCAACGUACUAAUAGCUUGUGGGGCAGAAACUGUGACUUGUACAUCUGAAAAAUCCUUUCAUGCGUUUGUACAAUCUUAAUGUAAUAAAAAUGAAUUCUGAAAUUAAUUUUACAUACAAUCCUCCGAGCAUCACUAGGGGACGCCAACUCAUUUAAGUGACCGCACACAAUUUUGCAGGACAAUGCACAGAACAAUAACUAGAGAAACAAACACACACACACACACCCACACACACACUACUGUUUAUUUCCCUAUUAUUACUGCGAGUGGUGAUAUAAGCCAAACCUUGAUAAAGAAACCUUCAAUACAUAGACUAAACACGCUUUGAAAAAAAAACACUUCACACACGAGAUAACAACACUUUAUCGCACCGUCAGAUAACACUCCUGGGUCGCCCCAUUGCUGCUGCAUCACCUCAGUAAGCUCCGAGGCGCCAUUGCUCCCAACGCACUCCUCGCACCUUACACACAGGCAGAAGGCGCUGAAGGAGAUAGUUAACAAAUAAGUGUCAGCCCUCUUUCGCCUCUUUUCGUGUCCCUUCAUCCCAGUAGCGAAGGAACCACAGCGACAAUGACUCAAAGUGUGAUGAUUCGUGGUCGGUACGUGCCCACCAACAGACCCUUGGGCUUGGUGGCCGCUGCGGUCGUCAUGGGUAUUGUCUCCGGCAUUAACCUGGGCAUCGGCGUCAACACCUACUGCUUCUCCUACGACAGCUAUUGCGAUUACCGCAAGAAGGCGUACAUCAUCUCAGGCUCCUGCUUCGCCGCGUCUUCAUUCUUAUCAUACAGAUAAGAACAAGUGCCAGCCAGCAGCCUUCAAUGCACACUUCCCGCCCAUGCACAUCCAGCACGCCACGCCGCCACUUCCUGCCUUGUAACAGUCCUGUGGUAUAACUCCUGCUGCAAGAUCCUUCAGUCCCCACCCCAGCCAUGGUUCGAGGCACUACGGUGUGUGGAACCCUCGUCACCGGAAGGAUUCUGGGCAUCGCGAGCGGAAUCCUGGUAAUCCUACUCGUCAUCGGCAGCAUCGGGCUCGGGAUGGGUGCGACAUGGGAUUGCUACGAUGAUUAUUACGAAGAUUGUGCGUCAUACUACAGCCUCGUGGUCAACGGCGGCGUGCUGGUGGGAUUCUCGCUGAUCGGCCUCAUAUUUGCCGGAGUGCUGUACUGCCAGUUUAAGGAACAGUCCAUCCUGCCGCACACCACGAAUGUCCCUCACAGCUACGUCAUGCCCGCCAACACAAUAGUGGUCACAUAGUAGUCACUACAUCUGCGAAGCCUUCCCAUCAAAGCUAGUCUCAGCCAACCCCUGGAGCCACGCGCAUACAUAACUAGUUAAUUGUCACUGUGUGUGUGUGUGUGUGUGUGUGUGUGUGUGUGUGUGUGUGUGUGUGUGUGUGUGUGUGUGUGUGUGUGUGUGUGUGUGAAUAAAUUAUAAUUAGAAUGCAAUCCUUUGAGGAGACUUAAGAAAUGAAACUGAAAUAAAACUUAAUGAAAUACCA